Molecule: small RNA, 407 nt
Filed under: Arabidopsis thaliana (thale cress)
Lineage: Eukaryota; Viridiplantae; Streptophyta; Magnoliopsida; Brassicales; Brassicaceae
Description: ATSL201790
Source: RNAcentral
AAAGUUGUUUAGCUUGUUUAGAUCUACAUUUUGACAUGAUUUCAGUAAUUUCUGGGUUUGUGUUCUUACUUAUGUUGCUUGAGUAGUGAUUAGGGUUCUUGAGGAUGAAUUAGAUUAGGGUAAUCUCUCGGUUAGUCAGGUGGUUAAGAUUAAGUUAGAUCCCUUCUAAAUUCGUUGGCCCCUAUGCGGUUUUCGCUGGCUAAUGUGGAAAUUCGACCAUAGGUAUCCAGCAUCCAAAAGAUGUUCAAAUGGAUGCCUGAUCUACGAAUUCGAGAGAUUUGUAGACUCUAGCCCAAGAGAUUGGAUAGACUGCAUAUUGACUUUGGUAGAUUAUUGCUUAAACCCUGUUUUCCUAUGUUUCGUGAACGAGAGUUGAGAUUAGGAAGUGGUAGAGUUAUGGGGGUCUC